UCCUACGGGAGGCAGCAGUAGGGAAUAUUGCGCAAUGGGGGAAACCCUGACGCAGCAACGCCGCGUGGAGGAUGACACUUUUCGGAGCGUAAACUCCUUUUCUUAGGGAAGAAUUCUGACGGUACCUAAGGAAUAAGCACCGGCUAACUCCGUGCCAGCAGCCGCGGUAAUACGGAGGGUGCCAGC
This 186-nucleotide ribosomal RNA is filed under the name uncultured bacterium. RNAcentral describes it as "partial 16S ribosomal RNA". It matches the Rfam family "Bacterial small subunit ribosomal RNA", at positions 337 to 539 of the family's 1533-position model. The record is from RNAcentral.